Molecule: ribosomal RNA, 450 nt
Filed under: uncultured bacterium
Lineage: Bacteria
Description: partial 16S ribosomal RNA
Rfam family: Bacterial small subunit ribosomal RNA
Source: RNAcentral
CCUACGGGCGGCUGCAGUAAGGAAUAUUGGUCAAUGGACGAAAGUCUGAACCAGCCAUCCCGCGUGCAGGAUGAAAGCCCUAUGGGUUGUAAACUGCUUUUAGCAGAGAAGAAAAGCUUUCAUUACUGAGAGUCUGACGGUAUCUGCAGAAUAAGCACCGGCUAACUCCGUGCCAGCCGCCGCGGUAAUACGGAGGGUGCCGGCGUUAUCCGGAAUUACUGGGGUGUAGGGGUAGUAUUACGUAAUUUUAGAAAUCUUGUCGCUGAACGAUAAAAUUGCCAAGGAUACUGGUACUCUUGAAUUGGGUUGAGGUUAGCGGAAUGUGACAUGUAGCGGUGAAAUGCAUAGAUAUGUCAUGGAACACCAAUUGCGAAGGCAGCUAACUGGGCCUUGAUUGACGCUGAGGCACGAAAGCGUGGGUAGCGAACAGGAUUAGAUACCCGAGUAGUC